This is a non-coding RNA of Pelobates cultripes (western spadefoot toad), 218 nucleotides long. Lineage: Eukaryota; Metazoa; Chordata; Amphibia; Anura; Pelobatidae. The record is from the annotation of a GenBank genome assembly.
CCGUACCUCCUGCACCACACGACAACCCCCACACCACGAUACAAACGCUCCCUGACCAUCCGAAUUCUUAAUGUCGCAAAACACCUAAUACCUUUGUACUGGAAAAAAGACACAACCCCAAUGCUUUCCCUGUGGUUUACUAGAAUGGAGGAGUUACGAGUAACAGAGGAAAUCUGGUAUUCAGCCCAAGACCGAACGCAGACAUACUUAGACACAUG